RNAcentral lists this ribosomal RNA (506 nucleotides) under uncultured bacterium. RNAcentral describes it as "partial 16S ribosomal RNA". It matches the Rfam family "Bacterial small subunit ribosomal RNA", at positions 30 to 523 of the family's 1533-position model. The record is from RNAcentral.
AUUGAACGCUGGCGGCAGGCCUAACACAUGCAAGUCGAGCGGCAGCGGAAAGUAGCUUGCUACUUUGCCGGCGAGCGGCGGACGGGUGAGUAAUGUCUGGGAAACUGCCUGAUGGAGGGGGAUAACUACUGGAAACGGUAGCUAAUACCGCAUAACGUCGCAAGACCAAAGAGGGGGACCUUCGGGCCUCUUGCCAUCAGAUGUGCCCAGAUGGGAUUAGCUAGUAGGUGGGGUAACGGCUCAACUAGGCGACGAUCCCUAGCUGGUCUGCGAGGAUGACCAGCCACACUGGAACUGAGACAGAGUCCAGACGCCUACGGGAGGCAGCAGUGGGGAAUAUUGCACAAGGGGCGAAAGCCUGAUGCAGCCAUGCCGCGUGUAUGAAGAAGGCCUUCGGGUUGUAAAGUACUUUCAGCGGGGAGGAAGGUGUUGUGGUUAAUAACCACAGCAAUUGACGUUACCCGCAGAAGAAGCACCGGCUAACUCCGUGCCAGCCGCCGCCGUAA